GCGGUCGUGGCGAAGUGGUUAACGCACCGGAUUGUGGCUCCGGCACACGUGGGUUCGAUCCCCAUCGAUCGCC
Molecule: transfer RNA, 73 nt
Filed under: Oceanobacillus iheyensis
Lineage: Bacteria; Bacillati; Bacillota; Bacilli; Caryophanales; Bacillaceae
Also listed under: 8 other names
Description: tRNA-His
Rfam family: tRNA
About the family: Transfer RNA (tRNA) molecules are approximately 80 nucleotides in length. Their secondary structure includes four short double-helical elements and three loops (D, anti-codon, and T loops).
Source: RNAcentral